CCUCCUUUCUAAGGAAACCAAUAAAAUCAAUCAUCUUCAGUUUUGAAAGACUUAGGAUAACUAGUUUUUCUUCGUGACUUCACGAAGGGCCUAUAGCUCAGUUGGUUAGAGCACACGCCUGAUAAGCGUGAGGUCGGUGGUUCAAGUCCAUUUAGGCCCACCAGAGUUAUAGGUGUCGUAAGAACACAAAUUCUUUGAAAAUUAGGUAAAUAAUAGUUAUUUUUCCGGAACAUUAAAGGAAAUAAGAGCGCACAGUGGAUGCCUAGGCACCAAGAGCCGAUGAAG
RNAcentral lists this unclassified non-coding RNA (285 nucleotides) under Lime witches'-broom phytoplasma. RNAcentral's name for it is "partial contains 16S ribosomal RNA, 16S-23S ribosomal RNA intergenic spacer, tRNA-Ile gene, and 23S ribosomal RNA". The stretch from base 87 to 160 matches the Rfam family "tRNA". The record is from RNAcentral. Lineage: Bacteria; Bacillati; Mycoplasmatota; Mollicutes; Acholeplasmatales; Acholeplasmataceae.